GCCCUUUUAUAUCUCCCAACUCGGACCUGGUUUUUAACACACUUCUCAUCAAUUAUGGCUGUUUCCAGUUGCCAGCAAUCCCUACGCUAUGCCAAAACAGCACCUCGUUGGAUUCCUUUACGUGGACAAGUGCUAAAGAGAGUCCUCAAACUUGUAUUUGCUUCAUUUCUCUGCUGCAAUUGUUCCGCAACCAGAAAAAGCAGCCAGUCAAUGGUGUUUCCUUGUUGAAACGUCUUUGUUUCUCCAUUGUUCCUUUUCAUUUUCUAGUUUCCCUUUUCUUUAAGGGCAGCAAACAAACAAACAAAAAAAGAUAAAACAACAGAAAAGAAAAUGAUGACAUGAUUUGGAGAAAGUGAGAAGGUGAGUAGAUUGUGGUCAUUUGUUGUGUUAGUUUAUGAAAUAAGUGAAUCAAUAAUGGCUUCUUUUCUUCCAAAGACAACGAUUUUUUUACUUCAUUGUUGUGCGAGAUUUUGGGAGUUAUUAUUAAUGUAAAUGGUAGGAAAAUUAAUUCACGUCGAUCUACAUGUGGUCGC
Molecule: long non-coding RNA, 533 nt
Filed under: Gossypium barbadense (sea-island cotton)
Lineage: Eukaryota; Viridiplantae; Streptophyta; Magnoliopsida; Malvales; Malvaceae
Description: long non-coding RNA (GBAR_LNC014342)
Source: RNAcentral